GUUUUUAUAGUUUAAAAAAAACAUUGGUCUUGUAAACCAAAUUUAAGUUAUAUACUUUAAAAACU
This 65-nucleotide transfer RNA is filed under the name Spodoptera littoralis (African cotton leafworm). It matches the Rfam family "tRNA". Rfam says of the family: Transfer RNA (tRNA) molecules are approximately 80 nucleotides in length. Lineage: Eukaryota; Metazoa; Arthropoda; Insecta; Lepidoptera; Noctuidae. The record is from Rfam by way of RNAcentral.